Molecule: ribosomal RNA, 137 nt
Filed under: uncultured eukaryote
Lineage: Eukaryota
Description: partial 18S ribosomal RNA
Rfam family: Eukaryotic small subunit ribosomal RNA
Source: RNAcentral
UGGUGGAGUGAUUUGUCUGGUUAAUUCCGAUAACGAACGAGACUCUAGCCUGCUAAAUAGCUUGCAAGUACCAAUUGCUUGUUGAGCUUCUUAGAGGGAUUCGCUUUCGUUUAGAGGCACGAAAUUGAGCAAUAACA